AGUGAACGCUGGCGGUAGGCCUAACACAUGCAAGUCGAACGGCAGCACAGUAAGAGCUUGCUCUUACGGGUGGCGAGUGGCGGACGGGUGAGGAAUACAUCGGAAUCUACUUUUUCGUGGGGGAUAACGAAGGGAAACUUACGCUAAUACCGCAUACGACCUACGGGUGAAAGCAGGGGAUUUUCGGACCUUGCGCGUUUGAUUGAGCCGAUGUCGGAUUAGCUAGUUGGCGGGGUAAAGGCCCACCAAGGCGACGAUCCGUAGCUGGUCUGAGAGGAUGAUCAGCCACACUGGAACUGAGACACGGUCCAGACUCCUACGGGAGGCAGCAGUGGGGAAUAUUGGACAAUGGGCGCAAGCCUGAUCCAGCCAUACCGCGUGGGUGAAGAAGGCCUUCGGGUUGUAAAGCCCUUUUGUUGGGAAAGAAAAGCAGCAGGUUAAUACCCCGCUGUUCUGACGGUACCCAAAGAAUAAGCACCGGCUAACUUCGUG
This 492-nucleotide ribosomal RNA is filed under the name uncultured bacterium. RNAcentral describes it as "partial 16S ribosomal RNA". It matches the Rfam family "Bacterial small subunit ribosomal RNA", at positions 29 to 507 of the family's 1533-position model. The record is from RNAcentral.